UAAAACAAAGCAUUGCGAUGGCCCUAAA
This 28-nucleotide small RNA is filed under the name Bombyx mori (domestic silkworm). RNAcentral describes it as "ovarian small RNA-18014". The record is from RNAcentral. Lineage: Eukaryota; Metazoa; Arthropoda; Insecta; Lepidoptera; Bombycidae.